AUUAUUAAAAUAUAUAAUAAAUAUUUUAGAUUAGUAUUAAAUAUAUUUAUGAAAUUAAAAUAAUUUGGCGGUAUUUUAGUCUAUUCAGAGGAACUUGUUUUAUAAUCGAUAUUCCUCGUUAUAUCUUACUUAUUUUAUUUAAUUUGUAUAUCGUUGUCAUUAGAAUAUUUUAUAAGAAAAAUAAUUUUCUAUAAUUAUAUAAAAUUUUAUGUCAAAUCAAGGUGCAGUUUAUAUUUAAGUAAAAAUGAGUUACAUUAAUAUUUAUUUAUAUGAAUUAUGGAUUGAAAUAUCUUUAUAAAGGUGGAUUUGAUAGUAAGUUUUAAAAGAGUAUAAAGUUGAUUAUAGCUCUAAAAUAUGUAC
This 360-nucleotide ribosomal RNA is filed under the name Pintomyia robusta. Its description in RNAcentral is "Lutzomyia robusta partial 12S ribosomal RNA". The record is from RNAcentral. Lineage: Eukaryota; Metazoa; Arthropoda; Insecta; Diptera; Psychodidae.